RNAcentral lists this long non-coding RNA (24066 nucleotides) under Populus tremula. Its description in RNAcentral is "long non-coding RNA (PTRE_LNC000519)". Lineage: Eukaryota; Viridiplantae; Streptophyta; Magnoliopsida; Malpighiales; Salicaceae. The record is from RNAcentral.
CAGAACAUUUCCACACUUCAAGAUCUGUGUUUCUUCCCCUGGAAUCCAGACCUUAAAAGGCGAUUGAAGGGUGAAGAGAAUUACAAGAUCAAGCAUGUCCGAGUAUUUGGGAAGGUUUGAGAACCGUUGAUUUUCCAACCAAGAAAUGGAAAAACAUCAACCACAAUAGUUUCCAGAGGAAGUUUUUCGAGGAUGAAAUGCUUUUGCUUUACUCCUCAAAUAUCAUCUCCUGCUUUCUGUUCAUUUACUUCAAUAUUCUGGUGAUGUGUGCUAUCCUCUACUGUCUUGUAUACCUAAAUUUGUGCAAUCUCCAGCGGAGAAACCAGUGUCCUAGACUCCAAAAAAUCUAUCUUGAUGAUGAACGAUGUGUUUAUCUAUUUGCAUUUCCUUAAUAUCUGGAUUAUUAUCUAAUUAUUCUAUAGAAUUGCCCUUCUUCUAGAUUUCUCUCUAAGGAUUGAAUCAUUAGAAAAUCAAGGUUUUUUAUUCCUGUUUUUUUCGCUUGAAGUGGACUUGCUAGGUAAGAAACACGUCUAUUAUAUUGGCAGCAGUUCAUAUAAAUUAUACAUCCCAUUCCGUGUUUACAUAGAAUCAAAGGCGUAACAAAUAUUGUUUAUGCCUUUUAUUUUAUUCAAUUAAUUAAUUUUAUAUAUGUUUAUUUUUUUAUUAUUUAUUUAAAUAAAAUAUUAAUUUUUGUGAACAGAUUGUCUUGAAGAUCCAAGUUGCAAGAUCAAAUAUCUUGGUCUAUAUGCGACUUUUAACUUUUUAAUUUUUAUUUUUAUUUAUCAGUAAUGAUUAUUUAUUUAUUUAUUAACAUAUGUAUUUUUUAAUUUAUUUUAUUAGAUGUAUAAAUAAGUUUUUUUUAAUUUUGAUUAAAAACAAAACAUUGAAAAAAUCUACAUAUUUAUUUUUUUAUAAAAACCUCAAAGUUAAAUAGCUAUUAAAAACUAGCCGCCAUUGUAGGGUUUGAUAGAAAAGAUAUUGGGCUGGUAUAUCAUAUUAUUACUGUUAUUAACUAUUACCACUAUAUACUAAAAAAUAACAACAGUGCAUUAUUGUGCUCAAUUUGGACAGGACUUUUCAAGAACAAUGUUGUUUUUUUUUUUUUCAUUUUGAUCAUCAAAUAUUAUUAUGAUUAUCAGUAUUAUUGUUAUAUUCUUGCAAGUUAAAUUUAAAUUUACUAUUUUUUUAUAAGUUUAAUUUAUGCAUAUAUGAUCCCCAUAGUCUAAGAAUUAUAAGUUUCAAUCCUAGAUUUAUUUAUUUAUUUAUUUUAGUCUUCGAGUAUUGAAAGAUGUUAGAAAAAAAAAAAAAAAAGUCAGUUGAUCACGUUCUUGUUAUCAAAAAAACCAAUCUUGUUAUCAAUGAAUUUGUCUUACAAAUAUAAGUUCUAUGAAGAAGGUUUAGAACUUUUAUCCUGUUAAAAACACAUAUCAAGACUUAGAAAGUUUUUUUAUUUAUUUAUUUGGUUUGAUUUUAGAUUUUAGACAGAUUAAAUGGUGUUUUGGAGUUAACAUGAGUUUAAUUAGGUUCUUAAAAUGUUUCUUUUUUAAUGUUUUGAGAUAAAAAAUAAAUUGAAAAAUAAUAUUUGAAGCUGCAAAACUCAUACUUUAAAUUCAAAUCAUCAAAAUGGUAAAAAUUCAAACUAGAAUGUGGCACCCAUUGUUUCUUAUUAAAAAAGGAAUAUUAGAAAAAAUAAAGCAUGGAAUAAAAGUUUUUUUUUAUGGUAAAAUGAACCAUUACUUUGAAUUAUGAUAUAAGAAGGUAAUAUGCAAUUGUUUUUUUUUAAAAAAAUGUUCAUAAAUAUUAAAUGAGAAUGAAACUAUUUUGUUAUGUUUUAUUGCAUAAUGUUUACAGAAUUUUGAUGAUUAAUUAUUCUUUAUGUUUUUCUUCUGUUGUGUACAAAUUAUUGAUUCAUGAUUUUUUAUAUUUGUAAUGAAAAUUGCUUUUCAAAUCAUGAUAAAUCUUUAUUUAAAAAACAAUACUUUUAUUAAAAAACAUGGUUUUUGAAAACCAAGAAGAAAUACAUGAAUAAUAAAAGUGAUUUUUAAUUGAAAACGAUAUAUAUUUUUCUUUUUUAAUUCAAAUCAUUAAUAUUUUUAUAAAUAAAUAUUUUAAUUAUUUGUAGUUUUUAUUCAAAAACAUGCUACUAAUUAAAAAAAAAAACAUGUUCUUGUCAUACAAAAAUACAUGAAUAAGAAAUGAAAAACUCACUUAACAUAAUUUUUACACGACUAUUUGUUUUUCUCUCCACGGAAUCGGUUGGAAGUGGACUUGACAGUUAAGAAACACGUCUAUUAGAUUGGCAACAGUUCAUAUAAAUUAUACAUCCCAUUCCGUGUUUACAUAGAAUCAAAGGCGUAGCAAAUAUUGUUUUGGCCUUUUAUUUUAUUUAAUUAAUUAAUUUUAUAUAUGUUUAUUUUUGUAUUAUUUAUUUAAAUAAAAAAUUAAUCUUUGUGCAUAGAGUUAUUAAACACGAUUGUCUUGAAGAUCCAAGUUACAAGAUUAAAUAUUUUAUCUAUAUGUGAAUUUUAACUUUUUAAUUUUUAUUUUUAUUUAUCGUUAAUGAUCAUUUAUUUAUUAACAUAUGCAUUUCUCAAUUUAUUUUAUUAUAUGUAUAAAUAAGUUUUUUUUUUAAUUUUGAUUUAAAAAAAACAUUGAAAAAAUCUACAUAUUUAUUUUUUUAUAAAAAAAUUCCAACUCUAAAUCAAAUAGCUAUUAAAAACUAACCAAUGUAGGUUUGAUAUAGAGGAUAUUGGGCUGGUAUAUCAUAUUAUUACUGUUACACCAUUAAAUAGUUUUACCGACGGUUUAAGUUCGUCGGUGUGAGGCACAAAAACCAUCGGUAAUAUUUUUACCGACGGGCUCAUCGACAAAACACGUUAGUUGAAAUUUUAAUUGUUGGUAAUUUUUCUUUUCAUCACUAAUUCUAUUAAUAAUUAAAAAAAACCAAAUAUCGACGAGACAACAGUAUAUUAUUGUAAAAACUAGCCACUAUAGCUUAGAUUGAGAGGAUAGUGGGCUGAUAUAUCAUAUUGUUACUCUUAUUAACUAUUACCACUGUAUACUUAAAAAAAAUAAAAAUGUACAUUGUUGUGCUAAAUUUGGAUAGGAAUUUUAAAGAAUGGUGUUGUUUUCUUUCAUUUUUAUCAUCAAAUAUCAUUAUGAUUAUAAUUAUAAUUAUUAUUAUUGUUAUAUUCUUGCAAGUUAAAUUUGAAUUCGCUUCUUUUUAUUUAUAAGUGUAAUUUAUGCAUAUAUGAUCCCUAUAACUUUAGAAUUAUAAGUUUCAAUCAUAGACUUAUUUAUUUAUUUAUUUAUUUCAAUCUCGGAGUGUUGAGAGAUGUUAAGAAAAUAGAAAAGAAAGAAAGAAAUUCAGUCAGUCACAUUAUGGUUAUGAAAAAAGCCAAUCUUGUUAUCAAUGAAUUUGUCUUCCAAAUAUGAGUUCUAUGAAGAUGGUUUAGAAUUUUAAUCUUGUUAAAAACAGCGAUCGAGAUUUAGAAAGUUUUUUUUAUUUGGUUUGAUUUUAGAUAUUUAGACGGAUUAAAUGGUGUUUUGGAGUUAAAAUGAAUUUAAUUAAGUUCUUAAAAUGUUUUUUUUUUUAAUGUUUUGAGAUAGAAAUAAAUUGAAAAAUAGUAUUUGAAGUUGCAAAACUCAUACUUUAAAUUCAAAUCAUCAAAAUGGUAAAAAUUCAAACUAGAAUGUGGCACCCAUUGUUUCUUAUUAAAAAAGGAAUAUUAGAAAAAAUAAAGCAUGGAAUAAAAGCUUUUUUAUGGUAAAAUGAACCAUUACUUUGAAUUAUGAUAUAAGAAGGUAAUAUACAAUUGUUUUUUUUUAAAUGUUCAUAAAUAUUAAAUGAGAAUGAAACUAUUUUGUUAUUUUUUAUUGUAUAAUUUUUACAGAAUUUUGAUGAUUAAUUAUUCUUUUAUGUUUUUCUUCUGUUGUGUACAAAUUAUUGAUUCAUGAUUUUUAUAUAUUUUUUAAUGAAAAUUGCUUUUAUUAUUCAUGUAUUUCUUCUUGGUUUUCAAAAAACAUGUUACUAUAUAUUUUGUUAUUUUUUAUUGUAUAAUUUUUACAGAAUUUUGAUGCUUAAUUAUUCUUUUAUGUUUUUCUUCUGUUGUGUACAAAUUAUUGAUUCAUGAUUUUUAUAUUUUUUUUGAAUGAAAAUUGCUUUUCAAAUCAUGAUAAAUAUUUAUUUUAAAAACAAUACUUCUAUUAAAAAAACAUGUUUUUUGAAAACCAAGAAGAAAUACAUGAAUAAUAAAAGCAAUUUUUAAUUGAAAACGCUAUAUAUUUUUAUUUUUUAAUUCAAAUCAUUAAUAUUUUUAUGAAUAAAUAUUUUAAUUAUUUGUAGUUUUUAUUCAAAAACAUGCUACUAAUUAAAAAAAAACUUGUUCUUGUCAAACAAAAAUACAUGAAUAAGAAAUGAAGAACUCACAUAACAUAAUAUUUUUUUCUCUCCGCAAUUUAAAUCAUUGUAUAUUUUUUUUAAUAAAUAUUAAUUUUAAUUACCACAAAACUAAAUGAAAACAGAUUUUGAAAACCGCCACACAAGGGAAAAAAUUAGUAAAUAUAUUAAAAGAGCUAGACUUUUUAUUGUAACUCUGAUAUUGUUCAAAUAGAAAUAAAACAUCGUGGAUUACUCCGUGGAAAAACACUGCAAUCUCUAUUGUUGACCUACAAAUAAAAAAAUAUUGAUUUUAUGCUCUAGUCCCUAAAGCUUUUAAUUUUUAGUCAUUUUAAUUUAAAGUCUCUUAGUUUUUGUCUUCAAACUUCAUUUUUAUAAUAUUUCAGUUUUUAUAUUCCGAGAAAAGAGAGAGAAAUUUUUCACUCAUCCAUAUUUAUCCGACAAAAAAAUCAAUCUUAAUAUCAAUAAAUUCAUUUUAGAUUGGGAAGGUCAAUAAAAAUGCUUUUGCUCUUUAACCAUACCAAAAAAUAGAUUGAAGCAUUUUAUUAUAGCUUUGGUAUUGUUCAAGCAUUGAUAAAACCUAUGAAAUCUCUAUUGUCCAGUAAGAAAUAAAACACUGUUCAUUUUACACUUUGAUCAUUGGAGUUUUCAAUUUUUUUUCAUAUUUAAUCCAUGUAGUUUUUAUUUUGUUCAUUUUAGUCUUGGAACUUUAUUUUCACCACAUUUUUGUUCCUAGAUUCUAAGAGAGGAGAAGGAAAAUAGUUAAAAAACAAAGAAGAUAAAUAUUUUAGCUAGCCAUAAAAGAGACUAAUGUUGGUGUUAAUGAGUUAAUUUUAGAAAGAUAAAAUUAAUGGAUGUGGUAUUUCUCCUUUAACCAUGAUGGAAAAAGUAAAUUGAGGCCUGAAAUUUUUUUUUUCCUUCUUGAUUUAUGAUUUUUUAAGUGAUUAAAUAAUAUUUUGGGAUUGUAAAUGAAGUUACCAAGGUUCAUAAUAUUUAUUUUUAAUUGUUUUUAGAUGAAAAGAAGUUGAAGUUUUGAUUUUAAGGGUCCAAAUAUCUCAGAAUCUUCUAGUACUCGAAAAUUGUACCGGUAGAUAACACGUAGUCUAACCAAGCAGAUAAUGUGUUGUCUAUUUAAUUAUUUUUUUAUAUAAAAAAAUAGGUUAGACUACAUGUAUUCUGCCCUUCCUUCCAGACUUAGGUGUGAUGGCUCUUCACCUUUUGUUUUUUUCUUACAUUUUUUAUUUUUUUAAUAAAAUUAUCUUUAAAUAAAAUUAUUAAAAUUAUUUUUGAUUGAUGAGUUUAAGUAUUGAAAUUGAAAGGACAAAGAGAGAGCCAAACUUAGAAAAUAGAUGUUGGUGCAGUCUAAACUGGAACACUGUUCGGUAAUUGGGUCAUAUCUCGAGUUCCAGGUGUCCAAAUGACCUUAACUUUUUGAAAAUAUUUGGUAAGACAUAGGUCUAUAACUUUCAUGUGGAGUCCAAGAUUUAAAAAAGUCGUUUUUAAGUCCAAAUUAUAGCAACAACGGAGAAGUCCGAAUCUGUCCUGUAGCUCAGACAUUGUUCAGUGUUGAACCCAUAUCUCGAGUUCUAGAAGUCCAAAUGACCUCAAUUUUUUUUCCUGGAAAGAUAAGACAAUUUCCUAUAACUUUUGUACGUACAGGUGGUUCUAGUUCUGAUGCUAACAAUGACGUUUUAUUUAGACAAGAAGAUAAGAGUUUUCACCAAGUCAAGAGUUGGCCACCCACUUAACAAUUAGUCAUCAAAUCAAUAGUUUCAAAUUUUGGCCUAUAAAAAAAGGCAUUUGCCAUGUAUUUAGGGGCUUGGUUGUUCAUAUCAAGAACUUGUUCUUGCUCUCUUUUUUUAUAUUUGUUUUUAUAAUUAUUAAGUUUUACUUUCAUUAGUAUUUGUUUAUGCUUUUCAUUUUCUUUCCUUUACUUAGUUAAUUUGUAUCUUAUUUAUGUUCUUGUUUUGUUUAUUUAUGUUUCUCUUCUUCAUUAUGUUUAGUUAAGUUUAUUAUGUCAAGGUGAAAAAGUUACACUAAUGGUGUAAGAAUAAGUAUAGUGUAAACUCAACAUGGACCUUAAUGUUUAAUAUUAACAUGUCUUAUCUUUUUAUCUCACUAAUUCUUAAUACCUGCUUGUUAAAUGGUUAAUCUAGAUUUGUGUUGUACAAUACUUGGUACAACAAAUGUUUGACACUCUCAUAGCCUAACCGUAUGGUAUUAUGGUAUUACCUAUACCUAUGUUGUGCAAGGAACUUGAUUUGUUGUUAACAUAAGUUAGCAUCAUGAAUUCCUGAAAAUAUUUAAAAGUUUGGUAUUACUUAAAUAAGAUAAUUAAUAUAAUCAUGUUAAUAAUUUAUAAUAAGCUAUUAAUGAUAAAUCAUCCGAUUGGAACCUCUUUUGUGUGUGGUUUCUAGUUGAAUAAUAAGAGUUUAUAGUAUACUUGUUUGAAAUACCAUUAGUGGAUCCUCUAACGUUGACAUUUGUUUUUAUCAUUGUUUAAUCUUUAUAUUAAUCUUUCAUCUCAAAGUUCUCAUCAACUUUUUCUUCAUCUUCUUUAUUAUUAUUAUUGUUGUUGUUGUUGUUGUUGUUAUUGUUAUUGUUGUUGUUGUUGUUGUUGUUGUCGUUGAUGUUGUUAUAUUAUUGUUGUCUAUAAUUUAUACAAUUAACCUCCCUGUGGUUUGACCCCGUCUUGCCUGGUUAUUUAUUACUUCGACACUCUUACACUUAGAAGAAAACAUCAAUCUUUUGGUCGUGUCAAAUUGCACUAUAAGAUAGCGAUGUGUUUUUUUUUAUAUUGUUCCUUAAGAACAAAAAAGUUUAUUUUGGUACCUAUAUUUUUGAAGUUUUACAUAUUUUUUUGGUAAUGCAUUUUUACAUACUUUAGGUGCGCUCGAGCUUGAUUUUUUUUGUCCGUCACCUUUUUUCUUCUCUUUUCAAUCAAUAUUUUUGUCUUAAAAGAAAACAAAAUAAAAUUCUAUUCUAAAUAAAAUUAUUGAUAUGAUAUUAAAAACAUUAUCAUGCUGUGCUAUAAUUUUUAAAUAAAAUUAUAGUUUUUAUGGUAAUAUUAAUAAUUGUUUUAUAAAUGAUAAACAUCAACAACAACUGCAAAUUAAAUUAAUUUUGUCUUAAUGAUAAUUUUUUAAACUCAUAAAAUCGUAGCUAAUGGAGUGAUUGUUGGAGAGGUUUAUAUUUUUUAUUACAAAACUAAUAAAUCUAAAAAGGAUGAAUUAUUUUGUGUAAGAAUUUUUAGGCCUAGAAAAAUGGGAUUUGUGCUUGUGAUAAUUAUCUAGUAUUGGAGAUGAAAAGAAAGAACCAAAAUUUUAAAGGAAUAAAUAUAAUGAUAUUUUGAUUUGCAGUGUGGUAAUAAAUAGGAGCAACAUGGGAUCAUUCCUUUCAAAGCCAAAAAGAGGAAUUUAUUGAAGGGGAAAUAAGAAAUAUUUUGUUAUUCUUAAGAGGGGAUUCUUUCUUUUAAUUGUUGGUGUUCCUGUGAUUUCUUAUAUUUAGAUGUGAUUUAUUAAUAAUAAUAAAUAAAAAUAAUAAGAAAUAGAAAGAAAUUCAUCGUCUGGAUCGUAUAUCAACAUCCAAUUAUUAAAAAAAAAUGAAAAAAGAAAAGGUUCCAUCACAACUCAUAUAGAUACAAAUAGUGGAAGCAAGAAUAUUUGACAUAUUUCAUUUUUAAGCAGAAACUUGAUUUUUCUUCCUGAAGGGUUGCAGAACAUUUCCACACUUCAAGAUCUGCGUUUCCGCCCCUGGAAUCCAGACCUUAAAAGGCGAUUGAUGGGUGAAGAGAAUUACAAGAUCAAGCACGUCCCAAAUAUUUGGAUGGUUUGAGAAUCGUUGAUUUUCCAACCAAGAAAUGGAAAAACAUUAACCACAAUAGUUUCCACAGGAAGUCUUUCAAGGAUGAAAUGCUUUUGCUUUACUCCUCAAAUAUCAUCUCCUGCUUUCUGUUCAUUUACUUCAAUAUUCUGGUGAAGUAUGCUAUCCUCUACUGUCUUGUAUACCUAAAUUUGUGCAAUCUCCAGCGGAGAAACCAGUGUACUAGACUUCAAAAAAUCCAUCUUAAUGAUGAACGAUGUGUUUAUCUAUUUGCAUUUCCUUAAUAUCUGGAUUAUUAUCUAAUUAUUCUAUAGAAUUGCCCUUCUUGUAGAUUUCUUAAGGAUUGAAUCCUUAGAAAAUCAAGGAGACAGAUCUGUCUUUCGGGUUACCAGUGAAAAUUUAUUCUUGUUUUUUUCGUUUGGAAGUGGACUUGCUAGAUAAGAAACACGUCUAUUAUAUUGACAACAGUUCAUAUAAAUUAUACAUCCCAUUCCGUGUUUACAUAGAAUCAAAGGCGUAGCAGAUAUUGUGUCUACAUCGCAUUAAAAUUUGAAUAAACCAUCGGAUGCACGAGUAUGAACUACCCUGUAUCCCUAGUUAGCCUAGAUGCUACUGUGUCCUCUUAAUGUUCUCUAAUACAGGCGUGAUAAGAACAUUUUAUUUGAUGAUAGAGCUUUCUUCUCGUCCCAUGUAUCAAGUCACUACAUUUCCAUUGGUAUUGUCGAUGAUUGCUGAUAACCUCUCCAAGAAAAGGUUAAAGGCUUCUGGUGGACUAAACAUGCUUAUUCUGACAUACUUUGGACUAGCCCCAAACCUCUCCCCACUUCUUGCUAUUAUCUUAUGCUCUCUUAAACGACUCUCCCAGUCUAUAUCCUCCUUGCUGUGCAACCAUGCAAAAGCUGUUUGCAGAAAAGCAAAAUAUGUCAGAAGAGAUUUUCAAAUGAGCCUACAAUAAAGUUGGGGUGUCCUAUUUCAAAAGUAACAAAAAUAAUAUUGAUCUAAUUAUGAGCAUUACCAGGAUUUGAAUACAUGUACUUUCCAGUGAAGUUGCAGUAAUCUCGUGGGUACUUUGGCAGACUGAAGACUCUGCUGUUCUUGACAACAUUUCGCAAUCUCUCCCACCUUUCUUUCAGAAUGCUAUGGCUAUACUCAAAGAAGUUCUCUGAAUCAGCAGUCCUACAACCUUCGCCAAGCACUCCAAGAAUCUUCGCAGCUCGAAUCUGAGAUUCUUUAGAUACACCGAUGGAACUGAUCUGCAUGUAUUCAGUCAUCUUUCUAGCUACCUCUUUAUCCUUAACAAGUGCCCAGCUUCAAUUUGGAAACAAAAUAAUUAGCAGAAAGGAACAAGAAUGAACUACAAAUUAAACACAGGCAAAGAAGAAUGAUAUAUUGUUGCGAUCUUCUUAUUCCAACAAGUCAUGCAUGGCGACAUUAAUCUCUUUAACUAAAGAAUGUCCUGCUCACCCAAUCCGGGAACCAGCAUGUCCAGUGCAUUUGGAAAAUGUGAACAGCAUAAUAUCAUGAUCCAAGGGUUGAGUGAUAGGCGUGUAUUGUGGCCAGUAGUAGGCAAGGUCAUAGACAAGCUUCCCUUCUCCACGGUUCACCACAGCUUCUCGGACAGCACCGUCAGGAUUAUUCGGCGAGGUUACGACCUCAAUAUAAGGUCCAUCCUUAUCGAAGGUGUGCGCAUCUCCCUCCCAUUUAUAGAGUCCUGAACGCAGGAAUUCUGCCUGAUCUUUAUAUCCCUGCAGGCAAUGAAUAUCACAGGCACAUAAAUGAAUUAAUCUUCCACGACGAAUGAAGGGCGCCGGAGAAUUGACCUGUCCUCUUUUUUUUUCUUUUUUCUUUUCACCAUAGACGCACCAUGAGGUAAGAAACCAAUACAUGUCUUGAAUUAGUAUUUUGUCAGUCAAGUAACAUGAACAGGAAAUUAAGAAAACUUGCAAUCACAUUAUGGAUUAAUUAAUCACAUAUGCGUAAAUAAAUGCAUGUGAAUAAGCAUGCAAGCAGUCAAGCAUUUGCAACUCUGUUGAUGCCCAAUUGCAUAUGAUAUAAUUAAAUAAACUCAAGAACCGAGGUUCUGCAGCAAAGUUUGUGGAAAAUGUGGGUAACAUGCAAAGUUGUCUGCUCCAAGGACCGCAACAAGGGAGAUGGAUUUGCUAUUUUCUAAGAUGAAACAUCUUUGUUCCUGCUCGCGUAGCAAACGCCAGGCGCAAGUUCUCCCAAGUUUUGACACAAACGAGACAUGGUCAUGUUACCUAAAUCUUAGUUUCUCUUUACGAAACAUGUUUGUCGCCAUGUCUUUUGUUACAAACAGCACUCAUUUUUAUUUAUUGAUUAAUGAGUUAUUUUAUUUGUAAGAAAUACCAUUAACGUGAUGUUCUUAUUAAAUUAAGCUCUUUCUUUUUCAGAAAUAAUCUUAAUGAUCUCGCACGUACGACUUUUUCACUGAUGGCUGCGCCGGCCAAGCUUAAUUUCCUUAACCAGGCAAAGAUGGCUCUCUAAAUAAAUAAAUACAUGAGAAAUUAAAAAAGUAAACUAAAUUUAAGCAGUUCUGUUUUAUGCAAGACAAAUAAACAAAAAAAAAGAAGAUUAUAUUAGAUACUCUUGUUGGUUUGACUUUGACUUAUCAAAACUGUCUUGGCUGGUUUCAGAUCUCCUAGGUAUACAUCCUUAGAGGAUCUGACUCCUCUAAUGUUAGAGGUGACCCGCCUCAUCAUGUCAAAAAACUAAAAUUAGAACGUUGAUUUUGAAAUUUAUAAUUUGAAUUUUCUCAAAUAAAAAAAUAACUAUUAAUUUUAAAAAUAAAAAAAGAUCUGCCCACCAAGUAAAAUAAAUCUCAAAUACUGUGUUUUAGAUUAAUAUAUAGAUUUUCUUAAUAUAACGGAUCAUGCUAUCCCUAACUUAAAGGGAGAGCUCAUUCCAAUCGUUUGAAGAUCGUCAUUGAGUUCCAUGAGUAGGUUAUUAAGCCAGUAUUGAGUCUGGUUUUACACCAUCAGAUCAAGUGAAAGCAUGUAAAGACUUGCACCAAAUUAUGUAAACUGAAAGAAGUUUGAUGAGGAAGGGAGCGGUGGCUACCGAGUAAAAAGGAGCAGCAGCUACAAGACUGACGGGGUGGCGAUCAGCCGGAGAAGAGAGAGCAUACAGAGCAGCCAUUAAGAGCUGUGUUGAACCUGUCCCAACCACGAUGUGGCGAUCCUCUGUUACUGCGUUUCCAACAACACGAUGCAGUCGCUUUAUGGCAUCACCAAGUUGUGGCUGCAAAAACCAGCAAAUGUUGCUAAUAUCACUGAAAUAGCUCAUCAAAUCACACCCUUCAAUCAUCAACGUACACUUGUCUCCCAUUUUCCUCCAGUAUGGCUCGAACAACGUUGGAUCUCCCCUGCAUUUCCGCAUAACACAUCACUUCCUCGUACGUUAAGAAAAACUCUAUCCCAGAUAACAACACUACGUGAUAAUUAUACCAAACUAAAACUGUUAAACCGUAAAUGACUAUAGCCAGGCCAUUGCACCGGCGCAAUGUAGCCACAACGAGGUGGUGUAUGCUUUUAAUUUCCGAUAGAAAACAAAAGAAUUUAAUAAACGUGAACUUACUGAUCUAGAUUGAUCAUGGAAUCCGGUGAGAGACUUGUCUUUGUGGGCUUAGUUGUCGUCGGAGAAGAGUUUUGGUUAUUGGUUGCUCCAUUCUCUAAACCGCCCAUUUUUCUCUUCUCUUUUCUUCUGUUCUUUUGGUUUCCUCAACUACAGUCAGUGCUCGUGGUUUCUCGUAUACGUGCUUUGAUGGGCUAUGCAAAUACCUGUAUUUAUACUAAAUUAAUGAUGCGUCAGAAACUCUUUUUUUUUUUUUUUCAAUUCUGUAUAUGAGAGUACAUGUUAUAUUAUACGUGGGGGUGUUUUUAUUCUUGCUUUGCUUUGGUUUUUUUAUUUUUAUUAUGUUACCAAGCAUCUAGACUUUUGUAGUUAUAUUAUUCUAUAUUUUCUCAAGAAAAGUUGCAAGAUUAUCUGUCAAAUGCAAUUUUGCUUGUUUCCAUUCCAUAAUUAUUCCUAACCCAUAUUAACAUAUUAUCAUUGAUGGAAAGAUACAAUGAAUUCAAAACAUCAUAUGUGUUGUCUUAAAAAAAUUAGUUUGUAGUUAAAAAUAAUUUUUAAAAAAUAAAAACAAUAUUAUUUUAAUGUAUUUCCAAGUAAAAAGCAUUUUGAUAACAAAAUCAACUAUAUUAUCAAACAAACCCUGAAUUUUGAUGAUAACAUUUGAGAAAUUAUUAGUUUUUUUUAACGUACUAAACUGAUAUAAGGGGUGUAUUUUUAAUUUAUCUAGAAAAAAAAAAUCAAUCUCAAUACCUUUAUUGUUGAAAAAAAAACUAACAUGCAAUGUACAUAUAUCACGCUGCUCACGGGCUCCAAAACCUAUCAAAACAGAAUCUGAUCGCACGCGCGCGCGCACAUACAUGAUAUUUAAAAUACACAUAGCAUAAAUCAUGAGAGAUAUUGUAGAAAAUGAAGUUCCUAAAUGAGAAAUAAAUGAGAAACAUGCAAUAUAUCAACCAAUGAAUUAAGAGUGUAUUUAAAAAUGUGAUGGAAUCUUGCUUCUAAUUAAGGGUUUUAAAUUUUUUAUGUUUUUUAAUUAUUUUGAUGUGCUGAUAAAAAAAAAAAUUUAAAAUUCAUUUUAAAAAAAUUAUUUUAGAAAAGCUCAAUUCCCAAUCAAUUUAAUAUUGAAGGAUAGAAUCAUAAAAAAAAUCAAUUUAGAAAAAUAACUCGAGAUAACUAGUGAUAUUUUUAAAAUCAAUGAAAAAAUAAAUAAAUAAUAAUAAAGCCUACUCAGCCUAGCCUCCAAUUGAAUAAAUGAUAAAGGAUAAAAUUAAAAAAAAAUCAAGUAAACCCAGACGAACCUUCUAUAUUUAGGUUAACCUCUAAACUCACAACCCUUAAAAUCCUGGAUCUGGACUUAAUAUAGAGGCUAAAUCCCUGACCAAUUUAAUAUUAAAGGGUGAAUCCAAAAGAAACUUGGGCAUUUAUUACUUGGAUCAUAUUCGCGAUUUAUUUCCAUACUUGAACAAAUAAGAAUUUGGAAGGUUUAAAUUUUGUAAUUGUCGCUUCUAUAAUAGAACAGUUAAAUAGGAAAAACAAUAACAGUUUAAAAAACUUGUCAAAGUAAAAAAAAAAAAAACAAUAACAGUGAAAAAAGUUAGAAUCAAAUUUUAUAGGAAAAAGAGUCAAGGAAGAUGAAAAUAUGAAAAAGUUAAUUUAAAAAACCAUUUCAAACAAACCAAAUAGAAAUCAAAAAAAUGAAAAUCAAAUUUGAAAGAUUUAAAAAGUAAAAGGGGAUGAAAUUAAAAAAGAAUUCUGAUUUUAUAUAUUAUUCAAAAAAUUAUUACAAAUAUUGAAGGAUGAAAUUAAAAAAAAAAAAAUUUUAAAACUCACCCAAAGAAAAUUCAACAAAGAACAAAAAAAAAAAACCUUGAGAUAAGUUGAGUCAUUUAAAAAAUAAGUGAAAAACUCUAUAGAAAGCUAAUAAAUAAAAAUAACAGAGCUUAAUCUCUAAUUGAAUAAAUAUUAAAUGAUAAAAUUAAAAAAACAUGAGCUUAAAAAAUAAUUAAAAAAAAACAAGCAAACAUGAGCGAAUCACUUAAAGUCAAGCUAAUAUCUAAAACUUGCAACCUAUGCGAUCCUAAACCCGAACACAAUUAAGAAGCCUAAUUCAUAACUAAUUUAAUGUUGAAGGAAGAAAUCGAAAAAAAUACAAAUUUAAAAACUUUGUCAAAGUAAGAAAAAUAACAAUCAAAAGAAUGAAAAUCAAAUUUGAUAGGAAAAUAAACUUAGGGAGAAUGAAAUAAUAGAAAAAAAUAUUAAAAAUAAUCUCAAACAAAAUAAAUAGCAAUCAAUAAAUUGAAGAUCAAAUUUGAAAGAUAAAAAAAGUGGAAGAGGGGGAUGAAACUGAAAAGGAAUUCUAAUUUUGAUUAUUAUUCAAAGUAAAAUAAAUAAUAAUUAAAAAGGACAGUGACCAAAAGUUAAGAGAAAAAAUUAAAGGGAUUGGUUUGAAAUUUUGAACAAUUUGACUCAAAAUUUGAGGUGGAAAGAGAAGGAGGAAAAACAAGAAAUCGUUGUCAGUAUCAAAUACGAGGUGUGUUUAAUGCACAUGCCAUCCCGUCGUUGAGAGGAUACGAAAACCUUUUUAAAGUGUCAUUAAAUAUCGUGUUUGGUGACCAGACAAAUUGAUAAGCACCACUUGAAAGGUACUGGGAUCAUCGACUUGCUUGUGCGUGCCAUACACGUGUUUAAAGGUUUUUUUAAAAAUAAUGUUUAAUAAUAUUCAUAUAUAAAAGUGCUCUGAUUCUCUUUGAUAUUUUAAAAAAAAAGGCCACAAUAAAAGGACCGAAAGGCUCCUAAAAGAGAAUUUAGUGGAAUAUGUCAUUUAACUAUUUAAAAAUAAAAUUAAAAAUUAAAAUUAAAAUAAUCCUAAAUAUAUAUUAAUUUUUUUUUUAUUUGAGGGAUAACUAUAUAAUUUUAUUGUGCAUAAAUAAUAAGAAGAUUAAUAUGAACACAUUACAUUGCCCGUAAUGUCUAAGAUAAAGGUUUUAUUGUUUACGAAAUUUUUUGGUAUUAUGUUAUUAUAAUAAACAGUGUUUAGAUUCUUGAUUUUAAUUUUUUUAAUUUAAUUUAAUUUAAUUUGUUAGACUUUCCCUUUAUUAAUAUUUAAUAUAAGUGUGCGUUUAGAUUAGUAUUAUUAAGACAAUUGAUCUUUUUAUUAUUUUUAUUCAGUUGAUUCUCUCAAUUUUACCUAAAUUAUUUUUUAAAAUAUUUUUUUCUAUUGCUUAUGUUUUUUUCAUUAAAAAAAGGCAUAUAGCACACUCGAACGUCCACCAACACAUGAUUUGCUUUGUGCAAGAAAACAGAAAUCCAUGACUGAUGGUCGGUCGGCUUGAAUAUCAUGUGCCAUCAAUGAUGAUGAUGCAUGUGCUAUUCACUGAUAAAACAUGGGGCUUUUCAAACGUUCUUUGUAUUUAGACUUGUUAUUAUUAACAAAACAAUUAAAAGAUAAAUAAAUUAAAAUAUUGUUUCGGUUUCACGAGUGAGAUGAACAGUUAAACAACUGGCUUUCUUUUUUUCAUUUUCUUUUUUAUCUUUUAUCAUACCUUUUUAUAUAGCCUAUUUAGAAAACAAUUAGGCUUGGAAUUAUAAUAAAAAUAUAAAAUUUAAAGAUAAAAAAUUAACAAGUAAAAUAUAAAUAAAAUAUAUAGCAAACCACACAAUAAAAGUCCUUCUAUUUCAUUUGUAAUUAUAAAUUCAAUUCAAUAUUAAUUUAGAUGUUUAUUUUUCACCCACUUUUGUGUAAAACGUGCUAGCCUGACUUGCCAGACCCAACAUCACUUGAUUUUUUUAAAAAAAAAAUAUUUUUUUAAUUAAUGCCCUUAUAUAUAUAUAUAUAUAUAUUCAAAAUAAUUUUUAAAUUUAUAUGUAAAUAAUGCCUCAUUUUUCUUUUAUUUUGUUUAUCUAGACUCUUUUAAAUAAAUAUUAGUUUUUAGUUAUUUUAUAUGCAUUUAAAUUUUAGAGAGAUUAUUUUAAUUCAUCUAUAUUUUUUAUAUAUUUUAUAUAAAUGAAAUUUAUUUUAAAAAAAUUUAAAUAUUUAUUUUUGGAUAAUAUUUUUAAUAUAUGUAAUCUUGUAUAAUAUUUUUUUUUAUCUUUUAUUUAUUAAUUAAUUUCAUGUGUAUCUAUUUUUAUUAUCACUUAUUUAAAUAAAAAAUUAAUUUUUGUAAACAGAGUUGUGAAUUUUUGUAAAUUAAUUUUUAUUAUCUUGGUCUAUAUGUGACUUUCAAUUUUUUAGUUUUUAUCUUUAUUUAUCAUUAAUGACUUUUUAUUUAUUUAUUUAUUAAUAUAUAUUAAUUUAUUUUAUUAGAUGUACCUAUAAGUUUUUUAAUUUUAAUUAAAAAAAAUUUAAAAACAUAUAUAUUUAUUUUUUAUAUAUAAAAAAAAAUCCUUCCCACAACAAAGUACAAGUGAAAGAGCUAUUAAAAACUAGCCAGUAUAGGUUUGAUAAAGAGGAUAUUGGGCUGGUAUAUCAUAUUAUUACUGUUAUUAAUUUUUACCACUAUAUAAUAAAAAAUAACAACAGUGCAUUAUUGUGCUCAAUUUGGGCGGGACUUGUCGCACGUGUGUGGCGGCACGGCGAUCGUCCACCCUCAAGGAAAAAUCAGAAUAAUUUAUUCCUGGCAAAUAAAAUAGGGAGAGACAAGGAAUUCUUGUCUCUACAAGUGAAAAUAUGGACUGGGAGUCGCCACCUAGUAUUCUGGUUACUAGGAACCUUAACUGGUCUUUAGAGAUCGGGUACGGAGACUAGUUGCGUAAAGGGAAGGUAUUAGCACCACAACUACGUCCUACUUAAGGUAGACUGCAUUGUUUUAAUGUCUGAUAAAAUCUAAAAUCGUGUUGUGGUUUUUUUGAAUUUUUGGUUCGUUUACGGUUUAAGAAAAGUCCUCCUCUGUAAGGAGGUCCUUAUCUUUAUCGGGUAAAAAAAGUACUAUUCGAAGUCGUCAAAAGAAAAUAUUUUUUUAAUAUCAGGAAUACGAUUUACGCAUAAAUUCAUAAUCCCUGAUACUAAAAUCAAACAAAAUAAAAUAUUUGUUGUUUUUUGAAAUUUUGGCCAAUGUUCUCUUGACUUUAAUAAACUGGUUAUUAAAGCCAAAAUGCAUGCUAAAAUAUUGUUUUUUGACAUAUGAAAAAUACGAUAUGAUUUUUUAGAUUUGAGACACUUGGCCGUAUGUACAAAAACAUUUUUUUAUCUUUUUUUCAAUUUUUUUUUAUUUUUGGAAGUUUUUGCCGAAAACCGAGUAUUUUAAUACCGGAUUUAUAUUUUUACGAUGUAAAAAUACUGCCCGAUAUCAAUCAAAAUGACAUACAAACGACGCGGAAAAAUUAUAAAAUGCCGAAACAAAUAUUUUUGAUUUUUUAUGUUGUGUGAACAGUACCGCGGGACGAAAACCGGGUAUUUUAAUACCGAAUUUAUAUUUUUACGAUGUAAAAUACAGACCGAUAUUAAGCAAAAUUGAUAAAAAAAAAAAUGUGCUAAAAAAUUGUAAAAAAACUUCUGAAAAAAAAAAUUGAAAAAAAAAAAUUGAAAUGGGCCGGGUCCGGUAACCAGCCCUCUUCAGCUGCAGAACGUGAAUUAAUUCACGUUCUGCAUGCAAACGAGGGAGGCAGCAAACGGAGAAGGCGACAGGGCGGCGAGAGAUUACCUGCGGUGACGUCGUGGCGGUGCUGCCGGCGGCGUAGGCACGGUGGCGGAGGCCGGCGGUGGUUCUCUCUCUCUCUCUUCUGUUUUUCUUCGUUUUCUUCCCUGCUGCUUCUUCUUCUUCUUCUUCUUCUCUGCCCUCUCUCUUCUCUUCUCUUCUAUCUCGGUUCGUCUCCCUCUCCCCUCUGUUCUUCCUCUCCUUCUUCGGUUCCCUUCCCCUGUUUUUAUAGGCAAAAACAGGGGAAGGCCGAAUGGUGGGGCGGCCACUAUUGGCCGCCCCUCCACUAUCUGUUCAAAAGGUGGCAAGUGGGCUGGUGUGGUAGGUGUCUUAUUGCGCAAAAAUAGGGAAAGAGGUUAGGCGAAAAGGGAGAAGAAAAAUCUUCUUCUUCCCCUGCCUCGCGUGUCCAGGGGAAGAAGAAGAGCUACAGUGCCGUCAAAACGGCACCGUUUUGGGCAUCUGUAUUUUAUUUUUUUUUUUUUUGCAACAGUGAAUGAAACGGCGCCGUUUUGGUCAAAACGCGCCGUUUCAUUUAAAAGGAAAAGGCGCCAAAAGCAUCAGAUUCAAAUUUCGGCCCUCCAUUUGCGCGCGUUUUACAAUUUAGUCCUUGGUCUCGGAUUUCUUCAAUUAAGUCCCUAAUUGGCCAUUAAACUUCAAUAUUUAUGCAAUUAAGCCCCUAAUUUGACCAAAUUAACUUCCAAAAAUUUAAAUUUGACCCCAGAAAAUUAAUUCCUCCUAAUUAAAGCCCAAAUUAACUCCAAAAUCAAUUUUUCUUGCAAUUAAAAUCUUCAUAAAUGCAAUUAAACCUUCAAUAAAAUUUAAUUGAGUCCAUAAACUUCUAAUUUUGCAUUUUUCUUCCUCAAAAUUGAAUUUUCUUUAUCAUCGGGGCUCUCAUCAGUCAAUGAUAUACUGUCAAAAAUUAAUUUUUAUACUUUUGAACAUCCUCAAUCAAUUUUUGAACAUUUUUAGAGCGCUCUGGCAUUUUUUCACUGUUAUAUUUUUUGAUAAUAUAUUUUUUUGAAUUUUUUUAUAUUUUUUUUUAUGUGGGGACCCAAAAAUGGGUUACAACAGGACUUUUCAAGAACAAUGUUGUUUUCUUUCAUUUUGGUCAUCAAUGAUGAUGUUGUUUUUGCGUAUUCUUGGAAGUUAAAUUUGAAUUUGCUUCUCUUUGUACUCAUUGUUUUAGAGACAUAAGAAUUUGAAUUUAUAGUAAAAAAAAAUUAAAAAAACAAGUACCAAAAUAACUAAUAACAAUAUUAUCUAUUGUUCGAAUGAUGCAUAAAAAUAUAAUUUCAUCCUUAAAGUUUAAUUUAUGCAUAUUUGAUCUCUAUAGUCUUAGAAUUAUAUGUUUCAAUCUUGGACUUCUUUUUUUAUUUAUUUAUUUUAGUCUUUAAGUGUAGAGAGAUGCUAGAAAAAAAAGAAAAAAAAGACAUCACUCAGUCAGUUAAAAAAAUCAAUCUUGUUAUCAAUAAAUUUGUCUUACAUAAAUAAGUUCUAUAAAGAUGGUUUAGAAUUUUUAUCCGGUUAAAGUCAAAAACACAAAUUGAGGCUUAGAAUUUUUUUUUCUUUGGUUUGAUUCUAGAUGUUUAAUAGAUUGGAGGGCAUUUUGGGGUUAAAAUGAGUUUAAAGAGGUUCUUAAUAUAUACAUGUGUGUGUGUGUGUUUUAAAGUAAAAAUAAGUUGAAAAAUAGGUUUUGAAGUUGUAGAACUCAUACUUUAAAUUCAAAUAAUCAUGAAAGGUCAAAAUUCAAACUAGAAUGUGGUGCCUAUUGUUUUUUAUUAAAAAAAAAUAUUAGAAAAAAUAAAGCAUGGAAUAAAAGAUUUUUUAUGGUAAAAUUAACCAUUACUUUGUGAAUUAUGAUAUAAGAAGGUAAUAUGCAAAGUUUUUUAAAAAAUGUUCAUAACUAUUAAAUGAGAAUAAAACUAUUUUGUUAUUUUUUAUUAUAUAAUUUUUACAUAAUUUUGAUGAUUAAUUAUUCUUUUAUGUUUUUCUUCUAUUGUGUACAAAUUAUUGAUUCAUGAUUUUUAUAUUUUUUUAAUGAAAAUUUCUUUUCAAAUCAUAAUAAAUCUUUAUUUAGAAAACAAUACUUCUAUUAAAAAACAUGUUUUCUAGAAACAAGAAAGAAAUGCAUGAAUAAUAAAAGCGAUUUUUAAUUGAAAACGAUACAUUUUUCCCUUUUUUAAUUCAAAUAAUUAAUAUUUUUAUGAAUAUUUAUUUUAAUUAUUUUUAGUUUUUAUUCAAAAACAUGCUACUAAUUAAAAAAAAAAACAUGUUCUUGUCAAACAAAAAUACAUGAAUAAAAAUUGAAAAACUCACCUAACAAAAUAUUUUUUUUCUCCACAAUUUAAAUCUUUGUGUUUUUUUUUACAAAUAUCAAUUUUAAAUACCACAAAACUAGAUGAAAAAAGAUUUUGAAAACCGCCGCAUAAGGGAAAAAAUUAGUAAAUAUAUUAAAAGAGCUAGACUUUUUAUUGUAACUCUAUAUUGUUCAAAUAGAAAUAAAACAUUGUGAAUUACUUCGUAGAAAAACAAAGCAAUCUCUAUUGUUCACCUACAAAUAAGACAAUAUUAAUUGUAUACUCUAGCCCCUAAAGCUUUUAAUUUUUUAAUUUUUGGUCCUUUUAGUUUAAAGCCCGUUAGUUUUGGUCUUUAAAUUUCAUUUUUAUAAUAUUUCAUACCCUGUAUUCUAAGAGAGGAGAGAACAACUUCUUACUGAUUCAUAUUUAUUUCACACAAAAAUCAAUCAUAGUAUUAAUAAGUUCGUCAUCUUAGAAAGAAAAUGUAAAAUGAAGGUGCCUUUUCUAUUUAACUACACCUAAAAAUAGAUCAAAACAUUUUAUUAUAGAAACAAAACACUAUUCAUUUUACACUUUUAUCAUUGUAGUUUUUAAAUUUUUUUUUCAUAUUCGAUCCAUGUAAUUUUUGUUUUGUUCAUUUUAGUUUUCAAACUUUAUUUUCAUCACAUUUUUGUUCCUGGAUUCUAAGAGAGGAGAAAGAAAAUUGUUGAAAAACAAAAAAAAAUAUAUUUUUUAGCUAGCCAUAAAAGAGACUAAUCUUGGUGUUAAAAACUUCAUUCCAAUUAUUAGGAAUUUUUAUUGAAUUUCUUUAAGUUUGUACGGAAAAAACCAUGUUGUUGAUAAAAACAAAAAUCAUGGCUAUGUCAAAUUAUUGAAAUUAUUUCAAGUAUUUAUUUUAAUAGUCAUAAAAUCAAAUAUAAGCAGGUUUUAAAAUGACCCUGCGACUUCCUGUGGAUAACAAACUAGUAAACUAAACUAAAAUUGAGAAUAAAAUUGUAUUUUAAUCACAUUGUUUUUGUCUGUUACCUUUUUUCUUCUCUUUUCAAUCAAUUUUUUGUCUUAAAAAAUAGAGAAUAAAAUUGUAUUCUAAAUAAAAUUAUUGAGACGAUAUGCCAUGCUACAAUUUUUAAAUAAAAUUAUAGCUUUUAUGGUAAUAUUAAUAAUUGUUUUAUAAAUGAUAGACAUCAAUAACUAUGAAUUAAAUUAAUUUUUUCUUAAUGAUAAUUUUUCAAACUCAUAAAAUUGUAGCUAAUGGAGUGAUUAUUGGAGAGGUUUCAAAACUUUAUACUUUUUAUUACAAAACUAAUAAAUCUAAAAAAAAUGAAUUAUUUUGUGUAAGAAUUUUUAGGCCUAUAAAAAUAGGAUUUGUGCUUCUGAUAAUUUUUUUGUAUUGGAGAUGAAAAGAAAGAAUAAAAAAUUUUAAAAGGAUAAAUAUAAUGAUAAUUUGAUUUUCAGUGUGGUAAUAAAUAGGAGCAACAUGCAUGGGAUCAUUCCUUUUAAAACCAAAAAGAAGAAUUUAUUGAAGGGGAAAUAAGAAAUAUUUUGUUAUUCCUAAGAGUGGAUUCUUUUUUUUUAAUUGUUGGCGGUCAUAUGAUUUUUUAUAUUUAGACGUGAUUUGUUAAUAGUAAUAAAUAAAGAUAAUAAGAAAUAGAAAGAAAUUGAUCACCUGGAUCGUGUAUAGAAUAAAUAGUUUAAUGGAAGUCAGAAUUUUCAAAAAUAUUUGGAACAUUUCAUUUUUAAAUAGAUGAUUUUUUUUUCAAGUGUUCACAAUUAUAUAUUAAUCAAGCUAAUCCUUUGAAUCUAGAUCAAACUUGUAACCAUGUUUUUUUCAAGUCUGGCACCAAUCAAUUCGACUACAAAGAAUAAUUUUUAUUAAAAUAUGUGCAAUUUAUUAAAAACUUUCUUUAGAUAUAAAAUUUUGAGUAUUCAAUGAACCUAAUAUGCAUAUUUUUUUAAACAAAUUGCUUAUGAAUAUUGUAUGAAAAUAAAAUAUUUUUUUCUUUAUUAAAAAUAUUUUAUAUAAUUUUAUUAAAUUAAUUAUUCUUCUAUUUUUUUCAUAUAGUCAUGUAAAAAUUACCAAAGCAUUUGUUUGUUUGUUUGUUUACUGUGUCUUGUUUUUCAAAUCUAUAGGCAACUAGAUAAGCAAAUUAAAAUCUGCAGCAACCAUCCUUUGACAAAUGUUAUGAAUUUAGGCUAUGGGGUAGGUGGGAGGGUCGGAUUUUUUUAAUAACCAAGCAUUAUAUACUUUAUCUUUCGGCCCCCACCAACGCAGGAAGCACCUCGGCUGGUUCGUUGCCAUCACAGACGUUGACUUCAAAUAUUACUAGAUACAAAGUAAAUAAUCUUACAAUACUGUGAUGCACAGCAGAUGCAAAUCAGGACUUCAUUAGGGUUUGUCUGAGCUUGUAAUAUCCAACCAUGCCUUAUUUCAACUUCACUCAAGAGAUAGGCGAACCUGACUUGGUUACCGGGGAAAUUCCGGGGAUUAAAUCUGAAGCUAGUUUUUUUCUAAGCACAUCAGCAGCAGAAGGAUUACGCUCAUCAAGAGUCGCUGACAUCACAGGUGAGAGUUCUUCUUCAGAAUCUUUCAAAUCAAAUUAUGCAAAGCUUCCUGAUUACCUUAAGUCAUGCCUAGACUACUCUGCCAUUGUUUGUGGGAGAUAUGGUGUAGAGAUAGGAAAACUAGUUCGGCUUUUGUUGGCUGAAGGUCUUAUAGAAGACAGACCAGGGGAUAUCAUGGAGGAUGUAGCAGCAAAUGUUCUCAAGGAAUUGAUUGACCUAGGAAUGCUUCAAGAAGAACGACAAGGGACUGAAGUAAAAGUCCCUGCAUCGUAUCUCCGGUUAUGUAUUCUUAAAUUGGAGAAACAAGAUUUUGUUUCUAAAACUGCAAACUCACCUGUGCGUUUAGGGAUCAGAGAUGAUGGAAGGGAUAUCUAUCCUAAAGUUGAAGGCCUUCUAAUUCAUUCUCUGUUUAUUCUCGGUGCAGACCGCCGUGCUUAUUUUGAUUCUUACCGAGGCCUUUCACGGGCCUAUAUGAGAAAUGUUUGUGGUAUGCACUUUCUGUUGGUGUUGGAUUUGGAUUGCUGGAUAGAGCGCUUACCUGAUGAAUUGGGAGACUUGAUUCACCUGAGGUACUUGGGCUUGUUUAACUCAAAUCUAGAUGAGCUUCCAGGGACUUUAGGGAAUCUUAAAAGACUGCAAACUUUGGAUAUAAGGUGGUGUGGAGGACUACGCAAACUACCAAUACAAAUUCUGCAUAUCCAGCAGUUGAGACACCUUCUAAUGUCCGACAGCAUUAAUGAUUGUGAAAUUAGAGUUCCGAAGGGCAUUGGAGCAUUGGUAAAUCUUCACACUUUGUCUGGUAUUUAUGGUGGAGAUGAUAUUGCCAUGGAAUUGAUUGCCUUAACCCAGCUACGAGAGCUAGGCGUUAAGCGUGUGACUGCCGAUCAUGCCAGUGAGCUGUUUGCAGCUAUAGAGAAGAUGGAGAACCUCACAUCCCUAUCGCUAGAAGCAGAGCGAAACUACUUUGAAGGUACUAUUUUUCCUGAAUCGGAUGCGUUUUCUCCUCCGCCACUUCUUCAAGAGUUUUUCUUAAGUGGGGGAUUAAUUGAGAUGCCCGUUUGGUUUGCCUCCAUGGAAAACCUCACCCGCCUAUCAUUAUUGUUUUCUUAUCUAUCCGAGAAUCCAACUUCAGUCCUUCAGUUUCUUCCCAAAUUGAAGCAUCUUCAACUCUGCCAUGCCUACAAGGCAAGGCACAUUGGUAAAGAAUUUUGCAAUGCAGGUGGUUUCCCUGUGCUGGAAACUCUCACAAUUGCUUCUGGGUCCCUGGCGGAAUGGACUGAAAUUGAAACCGGAGCUUUUCCACGUUUAAGAUAUCUUUGUUUUCAUAACUGUGGAAACUUGAUUUUUCUUCCUGAAGGGUUGCAGAACAUUUCCACACUUCAAGAUCUGUGUUUCUUCCCGUGGCAUCCAGACCUUAGAAGGCGAUUGAUGUCCCAAAUAUUCGGACGUCUAAGAACUGUUGAUUUUCCAACCACGAAAUGGAAAAACAUUAACCACAAUAGCUUCCAUAGGAAGUUUUUCGAGGAUGAAAUGCUUUUGCUUUACUCCUCAAAUAUCAUCUCCUGCUUUCUGUUCAUUUACUUCAAUAUUCUGGUGAAGUGUGCUAUCCUCUACUGUCUUGUAUACCUAAAUUUGUGCAAUCUCCAGCGGAGAAACCAGUGUACUAGACUCCAAAAAAUCUAUCUUGAUGAUGAACGAUGUGUUUAUCUAUUUGCAUUUCCUUAAUAUCUGGAUUAUUAUCUAAUUAUUCUAUGGAAUUGCC